Papaver somniferum (opium poppy) is the source of this 319-nucleotide long non-coding RNA. RefSeq lists it as uncharacterized. The transcript has 3 exons. NCBI's taxonomy places the organism in Eukaryota, Viridiplantae, Streptophyta, Magnoliopsida, Ranunculales, Papaveraceae. The record is from RefSeq and is a predicted model, not a curated record.
GAAAAAAGAGUAAUCUGUUUUAAUUGAAAGAUCUGAGUUUGGCCUCGUACUUUAAGGAAAUUGAGGUGUGGAAACAAAAGACAAUCUUGAACAGAAGACCAACAGAACUGCACAUUAAGUAGAGAAAAAGCCUGAAAGUACAGAAAAAAAGGUCAUCCUUGGAUUUCAGAACUACAAUGAUAUAACAGUACCUACUGAUAUUCUAAUAUUCAGGCUCAUGAAAUCCUGUAUGCGCUCAUCAUAUCUAUAUAAAGUUACAUUAAGAGUGAGUACUUUAAUAUUCUCGAAAUUUGCUUUAUUAUUGAUCAUGUCUCAUAAU